RNAcentral lists this ribosomal RNA (216 nucleotides) under Triticum aestivum (bread wheat). RNAcentral describes it as "partial small subunit ribosomal RNA". Lineage: Eukaryota; Viridiplantae; Streptophyta; Magnoliopsida; Poales; Poaceae. The record is from RNAcentral.
AUGUAUAGAGGGUUAAUCCAGACCGAUGUGCCAGUUGUUAAUAACAAGAAGAUCUGGAAGAUGAAAAUACCUCUUAAGAAUAAAAUUUUUGCAUGGUAUCUUCGUCACGGAGUCAUUCUUACUAAAGAUAACCUUAUUAAGAGGAAUUGGCAUGGAAGCCUGCAAUGUGUAUUUUGUCACCAUGGGGAGACAAUUAAAUGUUUAUUCUUCCAAUGC